RNAcentral lists this non-coding RNA (179 nucleotides) under Vibrio vulnificus. Its description in RNAcentral is "Lysine sequence". It matches the Rfam family "Lysine riboswitch aptamer". From Rfam's summary of the family: Riboswitches are metabolite binding domains within certain messenger RNAs that serve as precision sensors for their corresponding targets. Allosteric rearrangement of mRNA structure is mediated by ligand binding, and this results in modulation of gene expression. Lineage: Bacteria; Pseudomonadati; Pseudomonadota; Gammaproteobacteria; Vibrionales; Vibrionaceae. The record is from RNAcentral.
UUUUGCAGAAGAGGAGCACUGCCCAGGCAGAUGUUUUGUGGAGCCGCAACUCCAACACAGAACAUUCAGGGGGAGUAGUGCCGAGGUAGAUCAAAAUUGCAGGAUUUGAUCUGUCGGUUGACUUGGGUUGAGUCCCAUCAACUGUCAUCAGCUCAGCCUGAUGAAGAGCUUCUGAGAUG